GUCAAGGUGGUGGAGUGGUUAACACGUUCGCCUGCUAUUGCUAUAUUUAGCAAAAUCAGCGGAUGCCUUCUGGGCGCGCAGGUUCGAAUCCUGUCCUUGACG
Non-coding RNA from Terfezia boudieri ATCC MYA-4762, 102 nucleotides. NCBI's taxonomy places the organism in Eukaryota, Fungi, Ascomycota, Pezizomycetes, Pezizales, Pezizaceae. The record is from the annotation of a GenBank genome assembly.